RNAcentral lists this long non-coding RNA (221 nucleotides) under Prunus persica (peach). RNAcentral describes it as "long non-coding RNA (PPER_LNC004679)". The record is from RNAcentral. Lineage: Eukaryota; Viridiplantae; Streptophyta; Magnoliopsida; Rosales; Rosaceae.
GUGAUUUUUCAAUGAAAUCCAUUGGCUAAAACUGUGCAAUACACCAACUACUCCAUUUACGGAACGAACUUUGUAAGAACUUGAAUUGUCCAAUUUCUUUGGCCAAUCAAUAUCAGACUGAGCCCAAAAUAUGGGCAACGUCAUAGUGUGGGGGGAGGAGUUAAUUGGUGUGUUUUGAGGGAAAUCCAGUCGCUAAAACUACAUUUACAGAACAAACUUUG